RNAcentral lists this ribosomal RNA (468 nucleotides) under uncultured bacterium. RNAcentral describes it as "partial 16S ribosomal RNA". It matches the Rfam family "Bacterial small subunit ribosomal RNA", at positions 28 to 507 of the family's 1533-position model. The record is from RNAcentral.
GACGAACGCUGGCGGCGUGCUUAACACAUGCAAGUCGAACGGAAAGGCCCUGCUUUUGUGGGGUGCUCGAGUGGCGAACGGGUGAGUAACACGUGAGUAACCUGCCCUUGACUUUGGGAUAACUUCAGGAAACUGGGGCUAAUACCGGAUAGGAGCUCCUGCUGCAUGGUGGGGGUUGGAAAGUUUCGGCGGUUGGGGAUGGACUCGCGGCUUAUCAGCUUGUUGGUGGGGUAGUGGCUUACCAAGGCUUUGACGGGUAGCCGGCCUGGGAGGGUGACCGGCCACAUUGGGACUGAGAUACGGCCCAGAUUCCUACGGGAGGCAGCAGUGGGGAAUAUUGCACAAUGGGCGGAAGCCUGAUGCAGCAACGCCGCGUGCGGGAUGACGGCCUUCGGGUUGUAAACCGCUUUCGCCUGUGACGAAGCGUGAGUGACGGUAAUGGGUAAAGAAGCACCGGCUAACUACGUG